RNAcentral lists this small nuclear RNA (330 nucleotides) under Castor canadensis (American beaver). RNAcentral's name for it is "7SK RNA (ENSCCNG00000011589.1)". It matches the Rfam family "7SK RNA". From Rfam's summary of the family: 7SK was discovered as an abundant small nuclear RNA in the mid-70s but a possible function has only recently been suggested. The record is from Rfam by way of RNAcentral. Lineage: Eukaryota; Metazoa; Chordata; Mammalia; Rodentia; Castoridae.
GGAUGACAGUGAUCUGACUGUGACACCUGUCACUCCAUUGAUUGCUGGGGUUAAUUUGGCUGAUCUGGCUGGCUAGGCGGGUGUCCCCUUCCUUCCUCAUCAGUGCACGUGCACCCCUCCCAAAGCUGUGUGCUCGGUCAAAGAGGACGACCACCGCGAUAGAGGACAACAGUUCUUUGGUUUAGGGUGUACGAAUAGCUGCAUUCCCCUGCUAGAACCUCCAAACAAGCUUUCAAGGAGUUGACCAACUGGCCAGUCAGAACACAGCUCUGGAUCCAGGUUUAAAUCCCAUUGUUACUGCUUAUCUGUUGUGAGAAUCUGGGCACGUUA